This 420-nucleotide unclassified non-coding RNA is filed under the name soil metagenome. Its description in RNAcentral is "partial contains 5.8S ribosomal RNA, internal transcribed spacer 2, and large subunit ribosomal RNA". The stretch from base 1 to 120 matches the Rfam family "5.8S ribosomal RNA", at positions 35 to 154 of the family's 154-position model. The record is from RNAcentral.
GAUGAAGAACGCAGCGAAAUGCGAUACGUAAUGUGAAUUGCAGAAUUCAGUGAAUCAUCGAAUCUUUGAACGCAUAUUGCGCUCUUUGGUAUUCCGAAGAGCAUGCUUGUUUGAGUAUCAGUAAACACCUCAACCUCUUCUUGAUUUUUCAAAAGGAGGGUGGACUUGAGCUAUCCCAACAACCUUUACCGGUCGGCGGGCGGCUUGAAAUGCAGGUGCAGCUGGACUUUUAUCUGAGCUAAAAGCAUAUCUAUUUAGUCCUCGUCAAACAGGAUUAUUACUUUUGCUGCAGCUAACAUAAAGGAUAAUUGUCCUCUUUGCUGACUGAUGCAGGAUUUACGACACUUUAUGUGUUGUUCAACUCGAUCUCAAAUCAAGUAAGACUACCCGCUGAACUUAAGCAUAUCAAUAAGCGGAGGA